GACGAACGCUGGCGGCGUGCUUAACACAUGCAAGUCGAACGGAAAGGCCCUGCUUUUGUGGGGUGCUCGAGUGGCGAACGGGUGAGUAACACGUGAGUAACCUGCCCUUGACUUUGGGAUAACUUCAGGAAACUGGGGCUAAUACCGGAUAGGAUCUCCUGCUGCAUGGUGGGGGUUGGAAAGUUUCGGCGGUUGGGGAUGUACUCGCUGCUUAUCAGCUUGUUGGUGGGGUAGUGGCUUACCAAGGCUUUGACGGGUAGCCGGCCUGAGAGGGUGACCGGCGACAUUGGGACUGAGAUAGGGCCCAGACUCCAACGGGAGGCAGCAGUGGGGAAUAUUGCACAAUGGGCGGAAGCCUGAUGCAGCAACGCCGCGUGCGGGAUGACGGCCUUCGGGUUGUAAACAGAUUUCGACUGUGACGAAGCGUGAGUGACGGUAAUGGGUAAAGAAGCACCGGCUAACUACGUG
Molecule: ribosomal RNA, 468 nt
Filed under: uncultured bacterium
Lineage: Bacteria
Description: partial 16S ribosomal RNA
Rfam family: Bacterial small subunit ribosomal RNA
Source: RNAcentral